This 498-nucleotide ribosomal RNA is filed under the name uncultured bacterium. RNAcentral's name for it is "partial 16S ribosomal RNA". It matches the Rfam family "Bacterial small subunit ribosomal RNA", at positions 29 to 523 of the family's 1533-position model. The record is from RNAcentral.
AUUGAACGCUGGCGGAAUGCUUUACACAUGCAAGUCGAGCGGCAGCGCGGGGCAACCUGGCGGCGAGCGGCGAACGGGUGAGUAAUGCAUCGGAACAUGUCCAUGGAUGGGGGAUAGCCCGGCGAAAGCCGGAUUAAUACCGCAUGAGCCCGAGAGGGGAAAGUGGGGGACCGCAAGGCCUCACGUCGAUGGGUUGGCCGAUGCCCGAUGAGCUAGUUGGUGAGGUAAUGGCUCACCAAGGCGAUGAUCGGUAGCUGGUCUGAGAGGAUGAUCAGGCACACUGGGACGGAAACACGGCCCAGACUCCUACGGGAGGCAGCAGUUGGGAAUUUUGGACAAUGGGGGCAACCCUGAUUCAGCCAUUCCGCGUGAGUGAAGAAGGCCUUCGGGUUGUAAAGCUCUUUUGUCCGGAGCGAAACGGGGCGCGUGAAUAUCGCGCUCUACUGACGGUACCGGAAGAAUAAGCACCGGCUAACUACGUGCCAGCAGCCGCCGUAA